AUGGACUACGCUCUAUAACCCUUUGUGACAUACCUAUAACUGUUGCUUCGGCGGGUAGGGUCUCCGCGACCCUCCCGGCCUCCCGCCUCCGGGCGGGUCGGCGCCCGCCGGAGGAUAACCAAACUCUGAUUUAACGACGUUUCUUCUGAGUGGUACAAGCAAAUAAUCAAAACUUUUAACAACGGAUCUCUUGGUUCUGGCAUCGAUGAAGAACGCAGCGAAAUGCGAUAAGUAAUGUGAAUUGCAGAAUUCAGUGAAUCAUCGAAUCUUUGAACGCACAUUGCGCCCGCCAGCAUUCUGGCGGGCAUGCCUGUUCGAGCGUCAUUUCAACCCUCAAGCUCUGCUUGGUGUUGGGGCCCUACAGCUGAUGUAGGCCCUCAAAGGUAGUGGCGGACCCUCCCGGAGCCUCCUUUGCGUAGUAACUUUACGUCUCGCACUGGGAUCCGGAGGGACUCUUGCCGUAAAACCCCCCAAUUUUCCAAAGGUUGACCUCGGAUCAGGUAGGAAUACCCGCUGAACUUAAGCAUAUCAAUAAGCGGAGGAAA
Molecule: ribosomal RNA, 545 nt
Filed under: Colletotrichum sp. LL15
Lineage: Eukaryota; Fungi; Ascomycota; Sordariomycetes; Glomerellales; Glomerellaceae
Description: eukaryotic LSU rRNA
Rfam family: 5.8S ribosomal RNA (bases 171-324)
Source: RNAcentral